Molecule: ribosomal RNA, 525 nt
Filed under: uncultured bacterium
Lineage: Bacteria
Description: bacterial SSU rRNA
Rfam family: Bacterial small subunit ribosomal RNA
Source: RNAcentral
UAGUCCACGCCGUAAACGAUGGAUACUAGCUGUUCGGUACUUGUACUGAGUGGCUAAGCGAAAGUGAUAAGUAUCCCACCUGGGGAGUACGUUCGCAAGAAUGAAACUCAAAGGAAUUGACGGGGGCCCGCACAAGCGGUGGAGCAUGUGGUUUAAUUCGAUGAUACGCGAGGAACCUUACCAGGGCUUAAAUGUAUUGUGACAGGUGUGGAAACACACCCUUCUUCGGACACAUUACAAGGUGCUGCAUGGUUGUCGUCAGCUCGUGCCGUGAGGUGUCAGGUUAAGUCCUAUAACGAGCGCAACCCCUGUUGUUAGUUGCCAGCGAUUAAAGUCGGGAACUCUAACAAGACUGCCGGUGCAAACCGUGAGGAAGGUGGGGAUGACGUCAAAUCAAUCACGGCCCUUACGUCCUGGGGCUACACACGUGCUACAAUGGCCGGGUACAGAGGGGCAGCCACUACGCGAGUAGGGAGCGGAAUCCUUAAAACCGGGCUCAGUUCGGGAUCGGGAGUCUGGCAACUC